Molecule: long non-coding RNA, 372 nt
Filed under: Nicotiana tabacum (common tobacco)
Lineage: Eukaryota; Viridiplantae; Streptophyta; Magnoliopsida; Solanales; Solanaceae
Description: long non-coding RNA (NTAB_LNC012331)
Source: RNAcentral
GAGAUUUCAGACGACGUGGCGGUAUUUACCCAGGAGUUUUUGUUGAUUUCGUGCUCGAGGAUUAGGUGAAAAUCGGAGAUUGAGGUGUGAUUAGGGUUUUGGAGCUGUUGAAGAAUCUGAGCCGUCGAUGAGAGAUCAAACGGCUGGAUUUGAAGGUGAGAAGUGGAGGGAAUGAUGUAAGAGUAGGAGUUAGUUGUGGGUUCGUAGUGGAGCUUAGAUUUGAGGAUAGGAUUGGAAUUUUGGAGUUUGUGGAGGGCAUUUUGGAGAAGUGAAGUGUCAGGUGAUUUUGAUAAGAGGAGAGCUAAAACUGUUAUCCCUGUGCCACUGGGAACCGCCUUGCACCAGCUGUGCUCGGUGUUACCCGCCGGCCGG